AGGGUUUGAUCAUGGCUCAGAGCGAACGCUGGCGGCAGGCCUAACACAUGCAAGUCGAGCGCGCCUUCGGGCGAGCGGCGGACGGGUUAGUAACGCGUGGGAACGUGCCCAGAUCUACGGAAUAGCCACUGGAAACGGUGAGUAAUACCGUAUACGCCCUUCGGGGGAAAGAUUUAUCGGAUUUGGAUCGGCCCGCGUUAGAUUAGGUAGUUGGUGGGGUAACGGCCUACCAAGCCUACGAUCUAUAGCUGGUUUUAGAGGAUGAUCAGCAACACUGGGACUGAGACACGGCCCAGACUCCUACGGGAGGCAGCAGUGGGGAAUCUUGGACAAUGGGGGCAACCCUGAUCCAGCCAUGCCGCGUGAGUGAAGAAGGCCCUAGGGUCGUAAAACUCUUUCGCCUGUGAUGAUAAUGACAGUAGCAGGUAAAGAAACCCCGGCUAACUCCGUGCCAGCCGCCGCGGUAAUUC
Molecule: ribosomal RNA, 470 nt
Filed under: uncultured bacterium
Lineage: Bacteria
Description: bacterial SSU rRNA
Rfam family: Bacterial small subunit ribosomal RNA
Source: RNAcentral